UUCUUGGUCAUUUUAAGAGAAGUAAAAGUCGUAACAAGGUUUCCGUAGGUGAACCUGCGGAAGGAUCAUUACCGAGUGAGGGCCCUCUGGGUCCAACCUCCCACCCGUGUUUAUUUUACCUUGUUGCUUCGGCGGGCCCGCCUUAACUGGCCGCCGGGGGGCUUACGCCCCCGGGCCCGCGCCCGCCGAAGACACCCUCGAACUCUGUCUGAAGAUUGUAGUCUGAGUGAAAAUAUAAAUUAUUUAAAACUUUCAACAACGGAUCUCUUGGUUCCGGCAUCGAUGAAGAACGCAGCGAAAUGCGAUACGUAAUGUGAAUUGCAAAUUCAGUGAAUCAUCGAGUCUUUGAACGCACAUUGCGCCCCCUGGUAUUCCGGGGGGCAUGCCUGUCCGAGCGUCAUUGCUGCCCUCAAGCACGGCCGCGUCCGGUCCUCGAGCGUAUGGGGCUUUGUCACCCGCUCUGUAGGCCCGGCCGGCGCUUGCCGAUCAACCCAAAUUUUUAUCCAGGUUGACCUCGGAUCAGGUAGGGAUACCCGCUGAACUUAGCAUAUAAAUAAAGCGGAAGAAAA
This 569-nucleotide ribosomal RNA is filed under the name Penicillium sp. 202. RNAcentral's name for it is "eukaryotic LSU rRNA". The stretch from base 248 to 400 matches the Rfam family "5.8S ribosomal RNA". Lineage: Eukaryota; Fungi; Ascomycota; Eurotiomycetes; Eurotiales; Aspergillaceae. The record is from RNAcentral.